UACAGUUUAGUAUCGAUCAGACUGUGCUGCUGUGAGUGUGUGCACUGAGCCAGUGUGAUUAUAAAUAAAAUAUCACUGCUGUCAAAGACCCAACACACACUCUACUGAGGUGAUAGAAGUAACCACAUAACACAGAGGAAGUCCAUUAACACUAAACCACUACAUAAUUAAACUACACAAUGUAUUCAACUGAUGGAGUGAUAUUUUUAUAUUACACCUUAAGUAUUGAUAUUUUAGCAUAUAUUUUCUUAACUAAUGUUACAAAUAAACUUUUUGUUCAUUAGAUGAUGCCAAGUGCUCGUUCUCACUAGAGCUGUUGUGUGACUUCAUCCCAAUACAUGCUUUCGCAAACCCUAUCGUUAUAAUCAUAUCGUGACUUAUAUAUCGUGAUAAUCGUGGCGUCUCUGGCGAUUCCCACCCCUAUUAUUAAAGUAGACACCUCUCUGUCACUGCAGCUCCACGUGAUCAUUUACUCUAAUCAGUUUAUAGUUUAAUUUCGGGAACAACUGCUCAUCUGAGGAACAUGUGGCGUUAAAAUAAAGUCAAUAACAGACUCUUGUGAGGAGUUUGAGCAGAGUUUGUAAUGUUAGCGCGUUUUGCCUGGUUUGUCCUUCUGACUACACACACAGCUGAACGUUAACGCAGAGUUAAUGAACCCAUUACCAGAUACACACACUCACUCACGCACCCACAGAGCCAAUGUUUCACAGAGAUUUAACACAGAUCCACGCUCAGGUACCUCUAUUGCUGCCUCCAUCUGCAGCUGUCCGUCUCAGGAGCCUGGGCUGAGGUGAUGCGACUCUGGAGGCUACAAAACUCAGAGUUCAGAUUCCUGUGGGUGACGCUACGACGAUGACGUUGGC
Long non-coding RNA from Solea solea (common sole), 863 nucleotides. RefSeq lists it as uncharacterized. Lineage: Eukaryota; Metazoa; Chordata; Actinopteri; Pleuronectiformes; Soleidae. The transcript is spliced from 3 exons. The record is from RefSeq and is a predicted model, not a curated record.